UACGAAGGGGGCUAGCGUUGCUCGGAAUCACUGGGCGUAAAGCGCACGUAGGCGGAUCUUUAAGUCAGGGGUGAAAUCCUGGAGCUCAACUCCAGAACUGCCUUUGAUACUGAGGAUCUCGAGUCCGGGAGAGGUGAGUGGAACUGCGAGUGUAGAGGUGAAAUUCGUAGAUAUUCGCAAGAACACCAGUGGCGAAGGCGGCUCACUGGCCCGAUACUGACGCUGAGGUGCGAAAGCGUGGGGAGCAAACAGG
RNAcentral lists this ribosomal RNA (253 nucleotides) under uncultured bacterium. RNAcentral describes it as "partial 16S ribosomal RNA". It matches the Rfam family "Bacterial small subunit ribosomal RNA", at positions 524 to 776 of the family's 1533-position model. The record is from RNAcentral.